Molecule: small RNA, 80 nt
Filed under: Mannheimia haemolytica
Lineage: Bacteria; Pseudomonadati; Pseudomonadota; Gammaproteobacteria; Pasteurellales; Pasteurellaceae
Description: isrK
Source: RNAcentral
ACUUUCAACAGAAAGUCGGGAUUGGCCUCCUGAAUUGUUAGCGGUGCGGAGAGAUGAUAGACGCACCAUGCGUCUUUUUU